GGGAUUGUGGCUCAGUGGUAGAGCGCUCACCUAGCAUGUGCGAAGCCCUGGGUUCGAUCCUUAGCACCA
This 69-nucleotide transfer RNA is filed under the name Ictidomys tridecemlineatus (thirteen-lined ground squirrel). RNAcentral describes it as "Spermophilus tridecemlineatus (thirteen-lined ground squirrel) tRNA". It matches the Rfam family "tRNA". Rfam says of the family: Transfer RNA (tRNA) molecules are approximately 80 nucleotides in length. Their secondary structure includes four short double-helical elements and three loops (D, anti-codon, and T loops). Lineage: Eukaryota; Metazoa; Chordata; Mammalia; Rodentia; Sciuridae. The record is from Rfam by way of RNAcentral.